Molecule: ribosomal RNA, 506 nt
Filed under: uncultured bacterium
Lineage: Bacteria
Description: partial 16S ribosomal RNA
Rfam family: Bacterial small subunit ribosomal RNA
Source: RNAcentral
AGUGAACGCUGGCGGAAGGCCUAACACAUGCAAGUCGAACGGCAGCACAGGAGAGCUUGCUCUCUGGGUGGCGAGUGGCGGACGGGUGAGGAAUACAUCGGAAUCUACUUUUUCGUGGGGGAUAACGUAGGGAAACUUACGCUAAUACCGCAUACGACCUACGGGUGGAAGCAGGGGACCUUCGGGCCUUGCGCGAUUGAAUGAGCCGAUGUCGGAUUAGCUAGUUGGCGGGGUAAAGGCCCACCAAGGCGACGAUCCGUAGCUGGUCUGAGAGGAUGAUCAGCCACACUGGAACUGAGACACGGUCCAGACUCCUACGGGAGGCAGCAGUGGGGAAUAUUGGACAAUGGGCGCAAGCCUGAUCCAGCCAUACCGCGUGGGUGAAGAAGGCCUUCGGGUUGUAAAGCCCUUUUGUUGGGAAAGAAAUCCAGCUGGCUAAUACCCGGUUGGGAUGACGGUACCCAAAGAAUAAGCACCGGCUAACUUCGUGCCAGCCGCCGCGGUAA